Molecule: ribosomal RNA, 1023 nt
Filed under: Microbacterium flavum
Lineage: Bacteria; Bacillati; Actinomycetota; Actinomycetes; Micrococcales; Microbacteriaceae
Description: bacterial SSU rRNA
Rfam family: Bacterial small subunit ribosomal RNA
Source: RNAcentral
GACGACGGCCUUCGGGUUGUAAACCUCUUUUAGCAGGGAGAAGCGAAAGUGACGGUACCUGCAGNAAAAGCGCCGGCUAACUACGUGCCAGCAGCCGCGGUAAUACGUAGGGCGCAAGCGUUAUCCGGAAUUAUUGGGCGUAAAGAGCUCGUAGGCGGUUUGUCGCGUCUGCUGUGAAAUCCCGAGGCUCAACCUCGGGUCUGCAGUGGGUACGGGCAGACUAGAGUGCGGUAGGGGAGAUUGGAAUUCCUGGUGUAGCGGUGGAAUGCGCAGAUAUCAGGAGGAACACCGAUGGCGAAGGCAGAUCUCUGGGCCGUAACUGACGCUGAGGAGCGAAAGGGUGGGGAGCAAACAGGCUUAGAUACCCUGGUAGUCCACCCCGUAAACGUUGGGAACUAGUUGUGGGGUCCAUUCCACGGAUUCCGUGACGCAGCUAACGCAUUAAGUUCCCCGCCUGGGGAGUACGGCCGCAAGGCUAAAACUCAAAGGAAUUGACGGGGACCCGCACAAGCGGCGGAGCAUGCGGAUUAAUUCGAUGCAACGCGAAGAACCUUACCAAGGCUUGACAUAUACGAGAACGGGCCAGAAAUGGUCAACUCUUUGGACACUCGUAAACAGGUGGUGCAUGGUUGUCGUCAGCUCGUGUCGUGAGAUGUUGGGUUAAGUCCCGCAACGAGCGCAACCCUCGUUCUAUGUUGCCAGCACGUAAUGGUGGGAACUCAUGGGAUACUGCCGGGGUCAACUCGGAGGAAGGUGGGGAUGACGUCAAAUCAUCAUGCCCCUUAUGUCUUGGGCUUCACGCAUGCUACAAUGGCCGGUACAAAGGGCUGCAAUACCGUAAGGUGGAGCGAAUCCCAAAAAGCCGGUCCCAGUUCGGAUUGAGGUCUGCAACUCGACCUCAUGAAGUCGGAGUCGCUAGUAAUCGCAGAUCAGCAACGCUGCGGUGAAUACGUUCCCGGGUCUUGUACACACCGCCCGUCAAGUCAUGAAAGUCGGUAACACCUGAAGCCGGUGGCCCAACCC